This 253-nucleotide ribosomal RNA is filed under the name uncultured bacterium. RNAcentral's name for it is "partial 16S ribosomal RNA". It matches the Rfam family "Bacterial small subunit ribosomal RNA", at positions 524 to 776 of the family's 1533-position model. The record is from RNAcentral.
UACAGAGGUGGCAAGCGUUGUUCGGAAUUACUGGGCGUAAAGGGCGCGUAGGCGGCCAUCUAAGUCAGACGUGAAAUCCCCCGGCUUAACCUGGGAACUGCGUCUGAUACUGGAAGGCUUGAGUAUGGGAGAGGGAUGUAGAAUUCCAGGUGUAGCGGUGAAAUGCGUAGAUAUCGGAAGGAACAUCGGUGGCGAAGGCGACUUCCUGGACCAAUACUGACGCUCAGGUGCGAAAGCGUGGGGAGCAAACAGG